AUUGAACGCUGGCGGCAGGCUUAACACAUGCAAGUCGAGCGGGGGAAGGUAGCUUGCUACCGGACCCAGCGGCGGACGGGUGAGUAAUGCUUAGGAAUCUGCCUAUUAGUGGGGGACAACAUCUCGAAAGGGAUGCUAAUACCGCAUACGUCCUACGGGAGAAAGCAGGGGAUCUUCGGACCUUGCGCUAAUAGAUGAGCCUAAGUCGGAUUAGCUAGUUGGGGGGGUAAAGGCCUACCAAGGCGACGAUCUGUAGCGGGUCUGGGAGGAUGAUCCGCCACACUGGGACUGGGACACGGCCCAGACUCCUACGGGAGGCAGCAGUGGGGAAUAUUGGACAAUGGGGGGAACCCUGAUCCAGCCAUGCCGCGUGUGUGAAGAAGGCCUUAUGGUUGUAAAGCACUUUAAGCGAGGAGGAGGCUACUUUAGUUAAUACCUAGAGAUAGUGGACGUUACUCGCAGAAUAAGCACCGGCUAACUCUGUGCCAGCAGCCGCCGUAA
RNAcentral lists this ribosomal RNA (501 nucleotides) under uncultured bacterium. RNAcentral's name for it is "partial 16S ribosomal RNA". It matches the Rfam family "Bacterial small subunit ribosomal RNA", at positions 30 to 523 of the family's 1533-position model. The record is from RNAcentral.